CCCUUAGAUGUCCUGGGCUGCACGCGCGCUACACUGGAAGUUACGGAUUGAGAUACUACCUUGUCCGAAAUGGUCCGGGUAAUCACCUAAAAGCUUGUCAUAAUUGGAAUGGAUUAUUGUAACUAGUAAUCCUGAACGAGGAAUUCCUAGUAAGUCCCAGUCAACAGCUGGUACUGAUUACGUCCCUGCCCUUUGUACACACCGCCCGUCGCUACUACUGAUUGAGUGGUCCGGUGAGGCUUUGGGAUCUGAGCGGAAAGAGCGUUUCGCUGUUUCUGCUCGGAAAACUCAGUCGAACCUUAUCAUUUAGAGGAAGGAGAAGUCGUAACA
This 330-nucleotide ribosomal RNA is filed under the name uncultured eukaryote. RNAcentral describes it as "partial 18S ribosomal RNA". It matches the Rfam family "Eukaryotic small subunit ribosomal RNA", at positions 1470 to 1796 of the family's 1831-position model. The record is from RNAcentral.